RNAcentral lists this small RNA (123 nucleotides) under Clostridium acidisoli. RNAcentral describes it as "c-di-AMP sequence". It matches the Rfam family "c-di-AMP riboswitch aptamer (ydaO/yuaA leader)". Rfam says of the family: This family represents a conserved RNA structure found upstream of the ydaO and yuaA genes in Bacillus subtilis and related genes in other bacteria. The ydaO/yuaA element is thought to act as a genetic "off" switch for the ydaO and yuaA genes in its native state. Lineage: Bacteria; Bacillati; Bacillota; Clostridia; Eubacteriales; Clostridiaceae. The record is from RNAcentral. RNAcentral also lists the same sequence under 1 other name.
AUAGGGAAUAAUAUCAAUAGCCUAAGUCAUACGGGGAAACCAUAUUUUGGGGUGAAUCACUUUUAAGUGUAGGUUAUGCCUUUACCGAACCCGUCAGCUAACCUCGUAAUAAAAGGAGGAGUU